RNAcentral lists this ribosomal RNA (476 nucleotides) under Ceracris kiangsu (yellow-spined bamboo locust). RNAcentral describes it as "partial 16S ribosomal RNA". It matches the Rfam family "Archaeal large subunit ribosomal RNA", at positions 1900 to 2625 of the family's 2987-position model. The record is from RNAcentral. Lineage: Eukaryota; Metazoa; Arthropoda; Insecta; Orthoptera; Acrididae.
CAAAAACAUGUCCUCUUGAACUAAUAUUUUGAGGUCUGGCCUGCUCACUGAAAAUUUUAAAGAGCCGCGGUAUUUUGACCGUGCAAAGGUAGCAUAAUCAUUAGUCUUUUAAUUAAGGGCUGGAAUGAAUGGCUUGACGAGAAAUUAACUGUCUCUUAAUAAUUUAUAUAAUUUAACUUUUCAGUCAAAAGGCUUAAAUUUUUCUUUAGGACGAGAAGACCCUAUAGAGCUUGACAUUUUAUUUAUAUAUAGUUUUUAGUUGGUCUUUCUAUAUAUGAUGAUAAUGUUUUGUUGGGGUGACAUGAAGAAUAAAUAAACUCUUCAUUAUAAAAUCAUUUAUUUAUGUUUAUUUUGAUCCAUAAUUUAUGAUCAUAAGAUUAAGUUACCUUAGGGAUAACAGCGUAAUUGUUUUUGAGAGCUCAUAUUAACAAAGCAGAUUGCGACCUCGAUGUUGGAUUAAGAAAAGUUUUGGGUGC